RNA transcript from Brachypodium distachyon (stiff brome), 3189 nucleotides. RefSeq lists it as uncharacterized. The transcript is spliced from 6 exons. Lineage: Eukaryota; Viridiplantae; Streptophyta; Magnoliopsida; Poales; Poaceae. The record is from RefSeq and is a predicted model, not a curated record.
UUUAACCGGUCAACGAGCCUGUGAACUUCGGAAGUGGGACUAUCGUCGCCAAUAGACGCAGAAGUCCUCCACCCUUCCCCUUCCCAACCGAUGGCUGGCACCGCCGGGCUGCGAUGGUCCAGACGGGCACCGACUGGGACUGCCGAGGCGCUGACGGGGCGCACGGUCGCGGGAGGUGGUUCGCUCUCCACGACGGCGUGCUCUCCUCCACCGCCUCUCCCGCCCCUCGACUCGUCCUCUCGUCGGACUGCGUCCAUAUCGUUGCCGAGAUCGUGUGUCCGCCAGAUAAAAUUGGAUUGUGUCCAUAUCGUUGCCGAGCUCGUGGACACCUACCAGCGGCAAGUACGCCCACCGUGUUGAGGGGUCAGACGACGGGGUCGUCGGACGGGGGCCGGAGGGAGAACUGCAGGUGGACGGAGGGGGCCGUUUUCCCGCGGCUAGAGGUGCAGCCGGCGCGGCUGGGCGGAGGAGCUUGCCGGAGCGGCGGCGCGGGGCGGAGGAUCCCGCCGGAGCUCGCUCCCCUCACAGCCUCACUUCCCUCGGCGGCGGCGGCCGGCGGGAGAGCCGUCCGAGAACCCGCGAAAUUUUCCCCUGAGGCGCUCGUGGUAGCUGCUGACUCAACCUGACUCCGCCAUGCGCUGCCAGCCGUGCGAUUGGAACGUACGCCCCCGCCGCCUCUCCGGUCCUUGGACCUCCUCCUCGUCGUUCGACUCCAACGGCAACCAUCUACUCCGCAAGCCCCUCGGUGAAAUCUCCUACAGAAGACAAGGGGAGAGAGUCGGAGAACAUCAGAGACCUCCAAAAUUACAAAGUUUUUUCUCAGCUUCCCUAUAUAUCUUCCCCUGGAAUUUUUACCACUCCCUCCGUCCAACAAAAGAUGUAUCAAGUUUGUCAAAAUUUGGAUGUAUAUCUAGACAUGACUUAGUGUAUAGAUGCAUUCAAAUUUAGUUAAAGUUCAGACAUCCUUCGUUGGACGGAAGGAAUAUUUCAAACUUAUACAUGCACACCGUUUCAGUUUACAAUCCGGUCAUCAUUUGUGCAAGCCAUGCCGGUGAAAAUAUAUAUAUUUGCUUGCCAUUGACAGUUUUAGGCUUUCAGUAGUAGUCACUAGCUAUGAUGGUUUGCAUGAUGCAUCGUCAUUCUUAUUCUGGUUUUUAUUUUAUUUUUAAUGUAAUAUGGCCAAACUUUGUGAUCAUUUAUGGUGUUUUUAUUCUCAGUAUACCAUUUCUUUCUCCAUGUACUCCCUUCGGCGCCUCCUUGUCUUAGGCCAGCUAGUUGCAGUUGCCAGAUAAGUUUCAGCAAAAGUUUUGCAUUCUUUGUACUGAAUGGUAUCAGUUUUAUCAUGUCCGUGAUUUGGAUUUAAUUUUGAUCCCUUCACACAUAAAUACUCCAGCUUUGUCUUAUGAGAUCUGUGGCAGAUGAUUUAGUUCUUUCGGUUAAUGAUUAAGAGGAGCUAAUGUAGUUGUUUUUAUCCUGUGUUCUGAGAUGUGUGGAUUUGAAGAAUGCGGCACUUGCAUACUCCUCUGGUAUUCAGAUCAUUAAGCAAUAACACGUGAAUUUCAGAUCAUUUCCGUGGUUAACCGUUUACGUAUUUAUGGUCAUAACAUGCUAUACCGAGUAUUGUUUUCUGCAACUGUAUCAUUUUGUCAAAUACUGAAGUGUUAGCAGAUAAAAUUGCAACUUUUUAGUUGUGUUUGGGCACAACGCACGUGUCAGUUUUCCUUAUGCAGUUUGCAUUUAUAUGCCAAUGUUUUGAGACAUUGUUCACUGCCCUGCAGCAUAUAUAUACCGACAUGGCGACAUGAACUUCUUAAUCUCCCAAAUCUCCUGCAUAUCAUUCUUAUAGUUGCAGUAAAUACUAGUAUAACUACUGCAUAUUGAUUUCCCUACUGACUAAGGAACUGAUUCAUGGUUUCCGUUUUCAGUAAGAUACGCAAACCACGCAAUAUACAAAUUAAAUUGGUUACUUGGGCCCACUUGGAGUCUCAUAAGCAAGCUCACUGUGAUCGCUUCCAUUUUGUUCUCAACAAAAGAUGCCUCCACAGGUCUUCAGAUCACCGGUCCCCAGAUCCCAGGCAGAUCCGCACCUCUUACUCCACCUCUCGCCGCUAUCGGCCCCAGACGACGACGCAUGUGGCCAGCCACGCCGAGAAGCACUUCCUCCGCCAGACCAACCUGGCAAGAAGAAGUGCCACGCCACCCUCGUCGACGACACGACGAGGAGGUGAAGAUGACAGGCAGGCAGGCAAAAAGAACCACCCAUGAUAAGAAAGGGCCAGCAACACGAGGUCUAUAUAUACAUCUUGUGGCUUCUCUUAUUUUUCUCAUGGUGUCUUCUCUCCCAAAACACGAUGAGUGGAAACACAUCAGUUUUAUUCAUGCUCAUGGAUUCGUCAUCGUCUUCAUCUGAUGAUGACGAACUCAUAGCUGCAGCAAUUGCAGAGCGUGAGGAGGAAGAGGAGAAUGUUCCACGCCCCGGUGGUUCCAAGCAUGGACGUCGGACAAUUAAUCGAGGAAGAGAUGCCGGAUUUGUUGUAUUGUGGAAUGACUACUUUGCAGCAAAUCCCGUCUACCCAGAAAGCUUUUUUCGGCGAAGGUAUAGAAUGUCCCGUAAUUUAUUUAAUCGCAUAGCUCUAGCUAUACUUGAGCAUGAGCAUGAACAUCAGGACAAGGAGCAUAGAUAUUUUAAGCAAAAAAGAAAUGCUGCUGGAGCCCUUGGGUUGCAUCCUUUGCAGAAGAUGACCGCGGCAAUGCGGAUGCUAACUUAUGGAAUAGCAGCUGAUGGUGCGGAUAAGUACAUCCGGUCUCCAGAAACUACUAAUCUGGCGGCUUGCAAGAAGUUUGUAAUAGCUAUUGUGAGGUCUUUGGGGAGCAGUACCUGAGAUCUCCAAAUGAAGAACAACUGAGUACGUUUCUCUAUAUGCAUCAACGGAUCGAGAAUAGAGCAUUUCACUCACAGCUUCAGGAUGAUCUAGUUGAGCACCUCCGGCAAAAGUUUGGAGACAAACGAUCUAUGUAGUAAUUUUAACUUUGUAGUCCAUUUCCUUUCAUUGUAAUAAUAUGGUAGUCAGAUCCUAUCAUGUACUAUCUGUAGUCAAUUUCCUAUCAUGUAUUCAAUUUGUAGUCAAUUUCUUAUCAUGUACUAUGGCAUAAUGCAAUGUUUUUCAAUAUCAAAUGGUUCAGAAGACA